This 464-nucleotide ribosomal RNA is filed under the name Streptococcus sanguinis. RNAcentral's name for it is "bacterial SSU rRNA". It matches the Rfam family "Bacterial small subunit ribosomal RNA", at positions 28 to 474 of the family's 1533-position model. Lineage: Bacteria; Bacillati; Bacillota; Bacilli; Lactobacillales; Streptococcaceae. The record is from RNAcentral.
GACGAACGCUGGCGGCGUGCCUAAUACAUGCAAGUAGAACGCUGAAGAGAGGAGCUUGCUCUUCUUGGAUGAGUUGCGAACGGGUGAGUAACGCGUAGGUAACCUGCCUGGUAGCGGGGGAUAACUAUUGGAAACGAUAGCUAAUACCGCAUGAUAUUAAUUAUUGCAUGAUAAUUAAUUGAAAGAUGCAAUUGCAUCACUACCAGAUGGACCUGUGUUGUAUUAGCUAGUUGGUGAGGUAACGGCUCGCCAAGGCGACGAUACAUAGCCGACCUGAGAGGGUGAUCGGCCACACUGGGACUGAGACACGGCCCAGACUCCUACGGGAGGCAGCAGUAGGGAAUCUUCGGCAAUGGGGGGAACCCUGACCGAGCAACGCCGCGUGAGUGAAGAAGGUUUUCGGAUCGUAAAGCUCUGUUGUAAGAGAAGAACGGGUGUGAGAGUGGAAAGUUCACACUGUGACG